Long non-coding RNA from Saccostrea cuccullata (small rock oyster), 201 nucleotides. RefSeq lists it as uncharacterized. The record is from RefSeq and is a predicted model, not a curated record. The transcript has 3 exons. NCBI's taxonomy places the organism in Eukaryota, Metazoa, Mollusca, Bivalvia, Ostreida, Ostreidae.
GAUAAACUUUCCAGGGUUAUGGAAACCGAAUCGUAAUUUCAAAAUUUCUAGAAACUGUGGGAGUGUUGAGGAAUGUAUACGUAAAGAAAUCAUAGCAAGAAAUAUGAUAAAACACCAGCAGCUUCUCUUACACCUCCAAAAGCUUGGACUACAAAGCAGAGGUAAUGGCCAAGCCAGACCGGCCGGGAUGGUGAAACCGAA